RNAcentral lists this ribosomal RNA (40 nucleotides) under Amblyseius andersoni. RNAcentral's name for it is "partial 18S ribosomal RNA". The record is from RNAcentral. Lineage: Eukaryota; Metazoa; Arthropoda; Arachnida; Mesostigmata; Phytoseiidae.
AGAUGGAAGUUAAAAGUCGUAACAAGGUUUCCGUAGGUGA